Long non-coding RNA from Peromyscus leucopus (white-footed mouse), 284 nucleotides. RefSeq lists it as uncharacterized. The record is from RefSeq and is a predicted model, not a curated record. NCBI's taxonomy places the organism in Eukaryota, Metazoa, Chordata, Mammalia, Rodentia, Cricetidae. The transcript has 3 exons.
UUUGUUAUUUUGUGUUUAGGCAAAAGGAUGGAUGCCAACUCUACACACUUCUACUUCGUAAAUUUAUUACUUUCUUCGUAAUCCCAUCAUAUAAGUCAAGAUCAUUGCAGAGCCAAAGCCACCGUGAAGAUGCUUAUGUGACAGGAUUCUGGAUGUUCUCCGAUAAAUUCGCUACUCUCCCAGAAAGUUGGGUUCAGAAAGAAAAAAAUGGAACCAGAGGUGUCUUCUUAUUUGAUUUAUAUCCUGUUUCAAAUACCACAGUCAUCAUGCACAUGAACUUUUUU